Molecule: RNA transcript, 1902 nt
Organism: Cryptomeria japonica (Japanese cedar)
Lineage: Eukaryota; Viridiplantae; Streptophyta; Pinopsida; Cupressales; Cupressaceae
Exons: 5
Source: RefSeq, a predicted model, not a curated record
UUAUUGACAAGAAAUGGUUGAUGCCCUUACCAUAUGCGGGGUGGGGUUCAAAGCCCCUUCUGAGUCUGAUUUGAGGGGACCCAUUUUGACUCAAUUGGUGAAUGAUGUGAAGAAGGAAUUAGGUGAACAACGCCAGAUAUGGAGCACUAAAGGUUGCACCAUCAUGACCGAUGGUUGGACGGAUAGGAGAAAUAGAACUCUCCUUAAUUUUCUUGUUUCUUCCGUAGGGGGCACCGUUUUCAUCAAGUCCAUUGAUGCCUACGCCCAUUGCAAGAAUGCCACCUACCUAUGUGAGCAGAUAGAGGAGGUGAUUGAUAAGGUAGACUAUUGAUGGAGAGGCACCCAUCUAUAGUUUGGACUCCAUGUGCUACCCAUUGCAUUGACCUCAUGUUGGAGGAUAUUGGAAAACUCCCAUGGGUCAAGAGAUGUGUAGAAAGGGCGAGAAAUGUGUGCAAAUUUGUAUAUAAUCACUCAUGGGUGUUGGCUCUUAUGAGACAAUACACAGAGCAAAAGGAUUAGCUCCUUCAGGAAUCACAAGAUUUGCCACAAACUUCAUCACAUUGCAGUCCAUGCUUUGUUGUAAGUCGGCCUUGAGACAUAUGAUUAUUGGUGAGGAGUGGUUUUCUUCAUCUUAUGUUGGUACCCCUACAGAGAAAGAUAUGGUAGAUUGCAUUUUUGAUGAGCGAUACUUUUGGGUCCCUUGUGAUGAGAUAGUGAAGUUUGUUAAGCCCUCGGUGGUUUUGUUUCGAGUUGUGGUUGGAGAAAAGCCUGCAAUGGGCUACAUAUAUGAGGGCAUGGAUAGGGCGAAGGAGGGCAUCAAAUCUGUCUAUGAAGGAGAUGAGAGCAAGUAUGGUCCCAUUUGGGAGAUCAUUGAUAGGAGAUGGCAUCAUCAGCUUUAUAGGACCAUCCAUGCAACAACCUAUUAUCUGAAUCCGACAUUCCAUUUUAUCCCUUCUUUCAAGGCUGAUGUGGAGGUCCUUAAUGGGCUAUACUCGAUCAUGGAGAAGAUAGCACCUGCUGGUACUACUCAGAUAGAGCUUAUUUGAGAGCUACAAUUGUUAUCAAAUGCACAAGGGGAGACCACUCGUCCUAUCGCCAAAGACUGUAGGACAACUAUGAUGCCAAGUAAAAAUAAAUUAUAAUUGGUGGAGCUUUUUUGGCCCAAUAACACCAAAUAUUCAGAAGUUGGCCAUUCGCAUCUUGAGCCAACCAUGCAACACAUCUGGUUGUGAGCGCAAUUGGAGUAUGUUUGAGCACAUACACUCCAAGAGGCACAAUAGAUUAUCUGUGGAGAAGAUGAAUGAUCUCGUCUUUGUUCACUACAACCUCCACCUGAGAAUGAGAAAUAAUGCAUUAGUUGACAUCUCUCGUAUCAUUCUAGAUGAGGUUGAUCUAGAUGCAGAGUGGGCUACUGAGAUAGAUCCUGUGGCUGUCUUUAGUGAUGAUGACACUGAUUGGAUCGACCAAGUAGACAUAGAGGUUGAGGUUGUAGCCAUGGUAGAGGAGGAGCAGGGAGCAUGAGUAGAGAGGAGAUUCAGAGGCAGAUAUUGAUAGUGACACAGAUGUUCCUGAUGUUGGUGAGCAUGGCAUGGUGUCACAGGGAGUGGCUAUGGCUGUCGAAUCAUGCAAGACCUACCUUAGACGCUUUCGCAGGGGGUCGAGGCCAGAGGGUGCACGCUCCUCUGAGCCAUAGGCUUGUAGUCUUGUAGUUGUAUUUACCUUUGGUAUUUGUGUGGAACAUUUGAUGAUGAUCAUAUGAUGACAUGGAUUUUUUAUUCCAUGAGUUUUGUAAUAUUGUAUACAUUUGACAAUAUUUAUAUAUCUAUGUUUGUUAUUUCCUUCAGCUACAAUUUGCGUUUAUGCUUAUGUGAUUGAUGUAUACUUGUGUAUGUAAUCAAAUGA